AAUGUCCCAAGUUUCGCUUGCAAUUCUAAGGUGUGCACACUUACUAGAUCAUAAAAAAUAAAAAGAACUAUAAGAUAGAUAUUACAAGCUGUUUCAGUUAACUACAUUUGUUCUGAGUUCACACACCGAUCAUUGUCAUGUCUUGAAUAGGAACCUAAGUUGAUAUAACAAAUUGUGGAGAAAAUUAGUUACAGUACUUUCUAUGCAUUUUCCUGCACUUGAUCUCAGUACAAGAAAAUUUAGGAUGAAAGUAUCUGAUUUAUCAGUAUACCGAUUCAUCAGUAUAUAUUAGUUUGACUCCAGAAUAUUAAAGUCUAUGUGCAUUUAUUUGAUUGAGUUAUGCUUUUAACUAUUACAUAUUAGUGACUAUCCACAUUCUGGCCACCUAGACUCUAGCUGAAUGAUAAAGCAUUUUUUUUGGGGGGUGGGUGCAUGAAAAGGAGCAAAAGGCAAAGGAUAUGAAGUAGGGCAGAAUGAGGCUACUCUGCCCAUCGGACGGGCCGACAGGCUACUCCUUUCCAGCACUCUGCCGCCCGCUACGUAUCUCUAUUCCGUUGGCUGGAACUUUCUCGGCGCCUCUGCUCUCCCAUUUCCUUUAUUUCCUUUGUGGAUCCUCGCGCUUCUUCCAGACGAAGAUCCUUCCGUCCUCUGACUCGCACUUAGAGCAAGGCUUAUAACCUCGCCUACUUGCCGGCGAAAAGGAGCUCCAGCUCAGAUGGGUGCUGCCUAUUUUAUUCAGCAGCUGUAGCUCAUUUAUUGCAUGAAAGCGACGGGUAACCAAUUGAAAGCCAAAGGAGCGGCGCUGGCAAACUCAAAUAGUGCAUGCGCCCGCUGAAUGUCGCCGUCUCGCCAGACGCCCGCUACCUUCUCUCUCAUGCCUUCUCUUUCUUCCACAUCAGUAUUUCGCCCGCUCGGCGGUCAUUAUAAUACCUGCUCUUACGCUUCCAGCCGCGCUGACCGACGCCCAACCUGCCGGCGCCUCCUCCCGCCUUUCAGGCCCUCGCCCCUGGCCACGGUACACCUCUUCUACCUUGGGUAAAGGAUCCAGGUCUUGCAACGCUGCUUCAGUGACUGCCAUCCCCUGACUGGUGGUUCUGCAACUUUUUCUAUUUACUUAGGGAACUAGGUCUUGCAAUGUUGCUUCAGUGAUGGCCAUCCCUGUCUGCUAGUUUUGCAACUGCUCGUCUCCUGUUAGGGUAAUCUGCCCCAUGAUUUCAGUCGCUGCUGUCUUUGGUCACAGUUCUGCUUAGAGAC
Molecule: long non-coding RNA, 1254 nt
Organism: Panicum virgatum (switchgrass)
Lineage: Eukaryota; Viridiplantae; Streptophyta; Magnoliopsida; Poales; Poaceae
Exons: 3
Source: RefSeq, a predicted model, not a curated record